This 1227-nucleotide unclassified non-coding RNA is filed under the name Hevea brasiliensis (rubber tree). Lineage: Eukaryota; Viridiplantae; Streptophyta; Magnoliopsida; Malpighiales; Euphorbiaceae. The record is from RNAcentral.
AGAAUAAUCAUCAGCAGUGUCUAACAUGUCAAUAUCUAGAAAUUUAAAUCUACAAUUUCGAGAUUGCCGCUACUGCUGUCAAUACUGUUGACAAAAACACAUUAGCAUUUUUCACAAUUGAAAUUGUAACUCAGUGAAUGAGCUGAAGACCAUGGACGAGUUUUCAGCUCCAUACACCAUACCCAUUGAUCCCAUGGGGAUCAACUGGGCUCAUGUUAACCCCCGAGGUUCUUACCUUCACUUCAUUCCAAAUCAGAGAUGCUGUCGUGGAAUCCAGGCUCAGCAUCUGUUUGUUACUUCCAGCUGGUAAGUCUUCCAUGACUCUCAUUUGAAGUGAGGCAGCUCUCAGUGGAGCAAUCAGCCCCCUGUUGAAGCAGACUAGAGGGUGCUUCUUCUGGGGCACGCACUUCAGCCACUGCUUCACUUUGCAAGGAGUAAAGGCCAAGCGGAUCAUGGGAGGCAUUUCUUGGUGUCUUAUUCCCUGAACCCUUCUGCCCAUCGGUGUCAAUAACUGUACCUCCAAUAAAUUGAUCAGCAAGCAUCUUACAAGCCCUCUCAAGCAUGGCUAAAUAUCUUUGUUCUGCAUCCUGGCGAAUUUGCAAAUGCUUCUGUGCCUCAACUUGUAGAUAUAAUUUACUUUGGACUUCCAUUUGCACUCUUAAUGCCUCCUUGACUUCAUAACCCUCAUUCAUAUCAGAAGUAGUAACAGUUGGUGAAGAAUUACUGCCUCCAGUGCUUUCUAAAAGGCACGAGCCAGACAACCCAUCUUUGGAUGCUUCACCAAUAUCCUUCCCUGAUUGCUUACCCAGUCUGUAUUUCUGGAGGUGACUUUUUAAAUGGAAGAGUGUAAGUCCCUUUACAUUCAUUGUCCGCAUGAUGGCCUUUGGUGUAGCUUUAUUGGCACCACCGAGCUGAGUGACGGCGUCAACGAAUCGUUCGUGCAGAUCGGAAGUCCAACGGAGGCGAGGUUUGGGAUCGGAAGUCAAGACAAGGCAUGGCUCUGCUGCUCCAAUUUUUUGAGUAUUAGUAGUGUGAUUCUGAUUUUGCCUUUGGACUUGCAUAUCUUCCUGAUGACUCACUAUCCCAUUCCCACCAGCAGGUCCAGCACCGCCGGGGUGGGGCCGAAUUGGCCUCUGGAACAUGAAGUACUUUUUGCCUUAAUUAAGGGAAAUGGAUAGAAGAAAAAGCCCACACCCCAUCACCCCCAACCAGCCAGCCAAAAAUUGG